This is a long non-coding RNA of Hyla sarda, 860 nucleotides long. RefSeq lists it as uncharacterized. The transcript has 3 exons. The record is from RefSeq and is a predicted model, not a curated record. NCBI's taxonomy places the organism in Eukaryota, Metazoa, Chordata, Amphibia, Anura, Hylidae.
GACAUUACUGCAGCCGGCGUUUAGCAGACCCGCAUCGUCAAGCGUCGGGCACCAAAACUAGGAAGAAGAUUGGGGCCAUAGGAUGGCAGAGUGAUAUCGUCAGCACAGGGGAGGCGUCGGAAAGUAGGCUAAAGUUUAUUAUUUUAAUGGCAUCACUCCGGGCAGAAUAAAAAAAAGCUAGAGUUCUCCUUUAAUAUUAUCAAACAGUCCCUUUAAGUGCAAAAACGGAGAAACACUCUGAAAGAGAGGCUCUAGCUUGGCAGUUGCACUCUGAAUAACCAUGGGCAUCUUCUUAUUCAAACAGCCACGACAAGUGAUGUAACUGGCUACAAAGAAAAGAGGGUUUGGGCUGGAUUUCCAAGUAAACACUGAUUUCAACUGUAUCCUCAGUGGAAAUAUAUGGCAGAGAGCCAGUGGCUUCCUAUCCGACCACUAACCUUUGUAAGCAACAGGCUUAGGCCAGUUUCACGAAUUAUGUCGAUCAGACACACAAUCUCAUGCAAUACAUCUGGGGUAAUAUACCAUGCUACCUGCCCUUGUGGUUACGUUUACGUAGGCAUGACCACUCAUGAAUUUAAGUAGAGAACCAGAGAACAAGUCCUUGGAAUAACAGCAGCGAAACAUGAAACGGAUCUUACGCACCUGACGACGGUUCCUCAACAUUUUUAAACAAUCCAUGACUGAUCUGGGAGGCCUUCAGGUCAGCCAGCCAUCCUUCUCGUGCGAUAUUAUUCGUCUGUAUACGCUUAUUGUAUUUUUAGAUCCUGCCAUGCAUCCUGCCUAGUGUCUACUGCCAUAUUAAAAAAGUUAACCUGUGGUAUUUUAUUUUUUGCCUCCCAUGUGCACCUAUCACUUUACUG